Long non-coding RNA from Colossoma macropomum (tambaqui), 358 nucleotides. RefSeq lists it as uncharacterized. The record is from RefSeq and is a predicted model, not a curated record. Lineage: Eukaryota; Metazoa; Chordata; Actinopteri; Characiformes; Serrasalmidae. The transcript is spliced from 3 exons.
GAUGAGCUUGAGGAGGAUCUAGUGGAGGAUGAGGAGGGGAAUGGCUUGGGGACAGUCAGUGGUGCUUCCUGGCGGGAUCAGCUGUCUGCAGAAGUGUCUGCCCUGGAGGAGGUCCCACCUGACCACAACUAUCUUGGGUGACAUGGCAGCCGUUGAUUGAGUCGGCCCUGAAAACCCUGUAGAUGGAUGAUGUGGUAAACAGUGGAAAUAUGCAUCACCCAACACACUCAAGACCACCCCUGAUGAUUUCCCACUGACAGAGGAUACCAGGUCUAGACCCCUGUAUGUCAGGAUGAACCUGCAUGUUCCUGUGCUGGACAGGUUUUUCAACCAGGAGGACACACGUCCAGAAGAUGAG